This 164-nucleotide ribosomal RNA is filed under the name Koenigia nepalensis. RNAcentral's name for it is "5.8S ribosomal RNA". It matches the Rfam family "5.8S ribosomal RNA". Rfam says of the family: 5.8S ribosomal RNA (5.8S rRNA) is a component of the large subunit of the eukaryotic ribosome. It is transcribed by RNA polymerase I as part of the 45S precursor that also contains 18S and 28S rRNA. Functionally, it is thought that 5.8S rRNA may be involved in ribosome translocation. The record is from RNAcentral. Lineage: Eukaryota; Viridiplantae; Streptophyta; Magnoliopsida; Caryophyllales; Polygonaceae.
AAUUAAACGACUCUCGGCAACGGAUAUCUCGGCUCUCGCAUCGAUGAAGAACGUAGCGAAAUGCGAUACUUGGUGUGAAUUGCAGAAUCCCGUGAACCAUCGAGUCUUUGAACGCAAGUUGCGCCCGAAGCCUUCGGGCCAAGGGCACGUCUGCCUGGGCGUCA